This 392-nucleotide ribosomal RNA is filed under the name uncultured bacterium. Its description in RNAcentral is "partial 16S ribosomal RNA". It matches the Rfam family "Bacterial small subunit ribosomal RNA", at positions 523 to 918 of the family's 1533-position model. The record is from RNAcentral.
AUACGUAUGUCGCAAGCGUUAUCCGGAUUUAUUGGGCGUAAAGCGCGUCUAGGCGGCUUAGUAAGUCUGAUGUGAAAAUGCGGGGCUCAACCCCGUAUUGCGUUGGAAACUGCUAAACUAGAGUACUGGAGAGGUAGGCGGAACUACAAGUGUAGAGGUGAAAUUCGUAGAUAUUUGUAGGAAUGCCGAUGGGGAAGCCGGCCGACUGGACAGAUACUGACGCUAAAGCGCGAAAGCGUGGGUAGCAAACAGGAUUAGAUACCCUGGUAGUCCACGCCGUAAACGAUGAUUACUAGGUGUUGGGGGUCGAACCUCAGCGCCCAAGCUAACGCGAUAAGUAAUCCGCCUGGGGAGUACGUACGCAAGUAUGAAACUCAAAGGAAUUGACGGGG